RNAcentral lists this non-coding RNA (93 nucleotides) under Bacillus thermotolerans. RNAcentral describes it as "Quasibacillus thermotolerans SAM riboswitch aptamer (S box leader)". It matches the Rfam family "SAM riboswitch aptamer (S box leader)". From Rfam's summary of the family: The SAM riboswitch is found upstream of a number of genes which code for proteins involved in methionine or cysteine biosynthesis in Gram-positive bacteria. The SAM riboswitch acts at the level of transcription termination control. The predicted structure consists of a complex stem-loop region followed by a single stem loop terminator region. The record is from Rfam by way of RNAcentral. RNAcentral also lists the same sequence under 1 other name. Lineage: Bacteria; Bacillati; Bacillota; Bacilli; Caryophanales; Bacillaceae.
UUUCUAUCCAGAGAGGUGGAGGGACUGGCCCUGCGAAACCUCGGCAACAUGUAAAUGUGCCAAUUCCAGCAAGCGAGGCUUGAAAGAUAGAAA